UACGAAGGACCCAAGCGUUAUCCGGAUUUAUUGGGUUUAAAGGGUGCGUAGGCGGAUUAUUAAGUCAGUGGUGAAAGCCUACAGCUUAACUGUAGAAUUGCCAUUGAUACUGAUGAUCUUGAGUAUGAUUGAGGUAGGCGGAAUGUGUCAUGUAGCGGUGAAAUGCUUAGAUAUGACACAGAAGACACCGAUUGCGAAGGCAGCUUACUAAGUCAUAACUGACGCUGAUGCACGAAAGCGUGGGGGAGCAAACAGG
Molecule: ribosomal RNA, 256 nt
Filed under: uncultured bacterium
Lineage: Bacteria
Description: partial 16S ribosomal RNA
Rfam family: Bacterial small subunit ribosomal RNA
Source: RNAcentral